RNAcentral lists this long non-coding RNA (195 nucleotides) under Fukomys damarensis (Damara mole-rat). Its description in RNAcentral is "lncRNA (ENSFDAG00000023810.1)". The record is from RNAcentral. Lineage: Eukaryota; Metazoa; Chordata; Mammalia; Rodentia; Bathyergidae.
AAAAACGUCUUCUGCAGCCACCAGAAGGAUGGAGAUAAUAAAAAGUGAUGGAUAUCAGCAGCUCCCUCUGCUUGGAUUGAUUGCUGUGAAGUCCUUGGAAAGAAAACACCAUAGGGGAUUUGUUGUGUAUGUAUGUCAGGUACUUGUACCCAGCAAUGAAAAAAACAAUCAAUGCAAGAACAAAUGUAAGAAGAA